Molecule: long non-coding RNA, 10181 nt
Organism: Parus major (Great Tit)
Lineage: Eukaryota; Metazoa; Chordata; Aves; Passeriformes; Paridae
Exons: 2
Source: RefSeq, a predicted model, not a curated record
AGGGUCAGGUUGGAUGGUGCUUGGAGCAACCUGGGAGAGUGGAAGGUGUCCCUGCCAUGGCAGGAGUGGGAUGAAAUGCUCUUCAAGGACUCAUCCAAGCCAAACCAGUCUGGGAUGCUGCAAUUUUCUGAUUCUAUGAUCUGCCCCUUUUGCAGCACUUCUCAAGAGCAGAGGUGCCACUGUUAGGGGAGGGACAGAGGCAGCUCUUCUGCUGGCAGCUGUGUAGCAAAUCUCCCUGCAGAAAUACAUCUCAGAACCUCAGAACUCCUCAGAACUGGCCAAACAUCCCCAGGCUGGAACAGCAGAGCACAAAGGGCUGAUAUUGAGACCUUGGUCUUUAGCUGUGCAGGAGCUGAAAGCACAGGCUGUGCCUGGGGGAGGGAGGCCUGGGCAGCCUUUGGAACAGGAGCAGGAGCUCUCCUGUGCCCCACUGUGGGCACAGCUUCUAUUUAAAGGUGCCUUGGCCCAUGCAGGGAUGGUGGAACUGCCCUGCUGUGCACAGCCCUGAUCUCAUUGGGGUCAGCUCAGCACAGACACCUCUGGAGGAGGCUCCUGGCUGGGGACUUGGGCAGCAGUAGAGGAAAUCUGACUGUACACGGUAUCAUCCAAGUGUUCCAUCUCAGGGCUGUUGCUCAUGGCAUGCAGGUAGGAGGGGACAAGAAGGGAGGGCAGCUGAAGGUGCUACAGUCAGCUCAGUGUGGCCUAGGAAGGCCUUGAGCAACCUAUCUGCCCUCCCUGUCUGCUUUUCAUUAUUGUUUUUAUAGCCAGAAAUAAGAGCUUUAUUUGCUUUAUUCAUCUCUUGUCAGAUGCCCAAUCAACAUCUGGCAACGCAGUAAUUCCCAGAAAGUGCUGACCUAGUGAGAGCCAGUGGAGCAGGAGGUGUGCAGGGAGGUCUCCAUCCCCCUUCCCAUCCCUGGCUGCCCUUUUCAUUAUCUUCCCAGCACAAGUGGGAUGUAUAGCCCACCUGACUGGAUUUCAGAGCACCAGGCUCCUGGGAGAUCUCAGGGUUGGAAGGCACCUGAAAACAGCUGGAGGCAUGGAGAUAGGGGCAGGAGGAACUGAGCAGGAGACAGGGCGUCCCAAAAACUGCUGCUGGGCUGGAGUUGGCCCAUGCACAGGGAGGAGAUUGGAAAAAUGGGUCAGAAAGGAGCUGAUCCAUUCCUUUGAGCAGUGCUGGGUCGGUGUAAGGGAUGCACACAGCAGGGCAGAGCAGCUCAGCUCCCCCUCCUCCCAUCUGCCUUCAUUUGGAUUUGUACAGAGCUCAGAACUCAAACAUGAGAAUGCAGGGAACCUUCCCAAGAGAUCUUUGAUAGAGUUUCCUGCAUGUGAGACAAUUUUAAGAUCCAGUAGAAGAUUGAAUAGAGAAGAACCCAUUUUUAUUUACUUGGGUACAUAUUGGACUCAUAAUAAAAUGGGGUGUAACAAGCCAGAGGCAAGUUCUGUUCCACUGGGAGAUUAGCCAGAGUGUGGCUGCUCCAGCAGGUCCAGCAGGUUCCCUGUCAGAUCCCUGGGCUCCCACACUGGAUCUCUUGAGCCCCCUUUUCCCACAUGGUCCCGCCCUGUCUUCUCCCUCAGGUGUGGGUGGCUCGGUUUGGGCUGGAUUGUGGGACCUGCCUUUCCACAUCUUGGCUUUUCUUUGCCCCCUCUCCUACAUUCCAGCUCCAGCCAGUUGGUCAGGGCAGUUCCUCCCUCUUCUCUGUCAGAGUCCUCUCCCCACAUCUGGGUCCUUUUCUGCUGGUCACUUGCAUGGCAAGUUCCCUUCUGUUCCUGUGGCACUGUUCCUGUCCCUCUGAUCGUGCUCCUGUCCACACCAGCUGCUGCCCAGCUCUUUGAUGUGCUCUCCUGCCCCAAAAAUCCUCCAUGGGCUCUGCGGCCCCCCUGGAAGCCCUCCCCAAACCUCCACCCUGAGACAGCAUCUAACCAAGGCCACUUUGGCACUUCAGGUGGUUUUGUCACCUUGUGCCUGCACUUUGGUGCCUGUGAUGAGUGGAAUGGGUUCCCCUUUCCUCCUGCCCAGAAGUGGAGCCAGGGCACAUGGUCUCCAGGAGGGAAAAGCUGUACCCCAACACGGAUUUUCCCCGGAAUAGCAAUGAAACAAGGACUCAGACCCUCGCAGCCCAAAGCAAUGCCAGGGAGCCCGCUCCCAUCCUGCCCCUUUCUGGGACGUGCAGUGUCCCCGAGCCCCCAGAGCUGGGUGUCUGUGCCCACCCUGCACUCCAAAGCUGCAGCAGAAGACACAGAUCACUCGGAGGAAGGUCCCGAGCUGCCUCAUCAGCUGCCCACUCAUGUGAGCAAAUGCCACCAGUGGGAGCCGAGGCAUCGCAAUCCAGCCCAGAACGCUCCUUUGAAGACAUUUCAGCUGCUCAAUUAAGUUUCCACUUGUGUGUUUUCCUUUCCCCCCUUUGCUUUCAUGGUCAUUUAAAACAAAUAAAGUGAGCAGAACACGGCAGCGUGAUAACCACCCUUUAAUUCCCUUCCCACGGCUCUCCUGAUUAUUUGGUGAUUCAGCGGCAGCGGGGGGAACGCUUACGGAAAGGAAGGCAGAGCUUCCCACAGGGACAGCAGCUCAGAGCCCAGGGCCCCCAGCAGUGGGGAGGAAAGACGUGCCUCGGCUUCUCCUUUUCGGUCCCAUGGAUGUGCUGAAUGCAGCGCCGAGCCCGGGCCCUGCAACCGCAGCGGCCCCGCUCUCAGUGCCCUCCUUGUUCUCGCAUUGUGCUCUGGGGACGGCACCAGCGCUCGGGAUGUAUUUCACGCUUCUGUGCAAACACAAUAUGAGAUGAAGAAUUCAUACCCUUGCACAAGAUCGGAGUGGAUUUUCUCAUAAUAAGGAAAAGCAGCCAGAUCGGAGCCUGCCAAUUCCUGCCCCGUGCUCCCGCCUUCCCUAGGAAGUUGAAACAAGCCUGUGCUUUUAAACUGGGACAGAGAAGUGUAUUACAUUUUUUUAAAAACCAACACAAGUCCUUCUGGAUCUUUUUUACAUUAUUCCCCCCCACCUCUGUCUCGGUAGGUGACUUUUCCAGCCCUCCCCCACUUGGUCUGAGCGGGGGUGGAGGAGAAUUCCAUGUGUUUUAUGUGUGUGAACAAUUAAUAGUGGGGCUGCAUCUCGCUGGAAGAGCGUGUAAAACACACCCCAGGAGGGGGGAAAGAAGAACUGCCCAGCCUGAUAAACUCCAGAGCUUUUGCUGUCCUGGAGGAAAACGUGGUGUGGGGGUUUGCUUAUUCAUCAGCAGCAGUAAAUAGCGGGCCUCAUCUUCAGCUCUCCUUCAGCCACUUCUGCUUCUCCCCAGCCUCCAGGCUGGCAAGGAAAGGAAAUACUUGUUGUCCUGUGGGUGACAAAUUGGGGGUUUAUAGCUGCUCACAUUUUAGCUUUUGUUUCCUCCCUGAAAAGCUCUGUUCUCAUCCUUGUGGCUUUGUGUUUCCCAGCAUCCGAAUCCUGGAGUGCUCCUGCCAGGCUGACACUGGAGGUGAGUCCUGACCCCAGUGCUGUCACUGCCACAUCCCAGCCGGACAUUGUGCAUGCAGGUGCUUUUCCUGGGCAGGAUUCAGGGUCCACCUGAGUCAUUCCAUACAAUCUGAUCCUUUGGAACAGCUCUGUCAGCAGCUUCUCCUCCCUCCUGCAGCUCAUGGACAUGUUUCCAUCCCUGGGCACCCUGAAAGCCCCAACAAGCCACGAGUGGCCAGGACCUGCCGAAGCCUGUUGAUCCAGACACUGGACCCCUGAAACCUGUGCUUCCCCCAGCACCUCCAUAAAGUGUCCUGAGUCCAAGUGAUUCAGGGAGCGCAUUUCCGGACUGUCAGCGAGCUGCAUCCAUCACUCCCCUGCACAUGCACCAGAUUGUUAAUGCUCCAGGCCAAAUACCACGUCUUUUUUAAUGCCUACCAAAUGUAGUGCGUGCUGCUGGCUUUAUAUUUAUAAUAAUUAUUAAAGUAAUGGCACUAGCUGCAUUCCUAUAGGCUAGAAGUGGCCAGGAACAGACAAAAAAAAAUGAUUCAUUGUUCCAAUUAAUGCUCGAGCUCACACCGGUGAUUAAUUAGCCUGGCGAUAGUGCUAUGCAAAAGAUCAGGGUGAGAAUUAAUAGGGAGACACGUGCUGACUUUUAAGAUGGUUCCAGCACUCUUUAGUGCCUUUCCUUGGGCCUGUUUAAUUAGAGGCAGCGGCACGGGCUCGCUCCGCACCGACACCCCGACGGCAGGCACUGCGGAAUAUUUAUACGACAGGGUGCCGGGGAAAACUUCAAAAUUAAAUUCCCAUCCAGGUCUCUAAAUAUAAUUCUGAAAUGUCAGAGAUGCUGGGAAGAACGCUGGUGCUGGAUGAGGUUGCUGUCAGGGAGAGGCAAUAGUGUGCCAGAUUUACACAGGCCUGAAUAGGCAGGUGACUUUUCAGCCCCGGUGUUUAAGGAGCCUCAGGUGCUCUGAUGGACGUGUUUCACCUGCUGGGACACACAGGAUCCAAUGGGAACACGUGCUGGAGCCUUGUGUGCCUGGCUUGGAUGGGGGAGAUGGAGCAGGGGCAGCUCCCAGAGUUCCCAGGAGGCACAAACCACUCUGAGCACCAGCCUUGGAAGCUCGGGGAAUAAAGCCGGGCGGUACAGCCGGUGUCCAGGGCCAGAUGUGCCGCGUUAAAGAAGCAGAAAUCCGAGUUUAAAAGGACGGGCCCCUGGUGGUGCAGCAGGUACAGAAACCCAGGGGUUUGAGUCCUCGGCUGCUCUGUGAGAAAGUGAUUUAUCAGUAAAGCCAGGGAGUGGUGCCUCUUCAGCAGACACGGCUUGGAUGUCACAGCUCUUCAAGGGGGCUUUGUGAGAGCCUUUCUGGGGACACUUUGGUAAUAAAUUUGCUUUUAUUAAUCUGCUUUAAUUACCUGCUAAGAUUAGAAUGCUUGCUGCAUUUCUCUGGUGUCCAUUGUAGCUGCAUUUUUGCUUUAGAGGGUGAGUAGUUUCCCCGGAAAGGCAGGGAAAUGUAUGUACAUUGUAUAUUACAUGUAUAUCACAUUGUAUAUAUUACAAUAUUACAUAUUGUAUAUAUUACACUGUAUAUUACAUGUAUGAAAUGUAUGUACAUUUGCAUAUGCAUUUGCAUGGGCUAAUUAUAAACUCAUCUUCAGCUCUGCAAUAUCUGUACAGUAAAAUAGUUGUCACUGCUUGGAAAUGCCUGCUUUGGAGCAGAAAUCAGACCUUUUUUGUAAAAUCAUUUGGUCACAUCUUUGGGGUUUAGAUUUUCAAUGAAUAAUCAAUACCUGUAACAAAAGAUUUAAACAAAAAAAAAAAAGGUGUUCAUUGAAAUUUCUCCACAGCAAAAAUCGAUCCCAUGUAUUAUUAAAUACAAAGAGACUUAUGUCUUGAGUUUCAUCUCGCCACAGCUUAUAAUAACCCUUCAGAAGCUUGAAGCAGGGCUUUUUUUCAUUAAACAAAAUGUUGGAUUCCCCUGAGCAGCUCCCUGCUUCAUUACAGGCAUGUGUUGGAAGGUUCCUGUGCCCAGCAGCUCUGGCCUGGAGGGCUGAGCUCAUCCCUGCCCGUUUCCAUAAAAAAUGGGAAUAUUUAUUUCCAAAGUGGCUGCAAAGGGGUGUCAGCACACAAACAUCGACAGGGAAGUGCAUUUUCUGCAUGGCAGGUUUAAACAUCUGCUUCCUGAGCACCUGGCUGGGGGGAAGUGGGGCCAUGGAGAGGUCACUGGUGACUGAAGGUGCUGUGGGUGAUGCUGCAGCUCGUCCCUGGUACCCCCAGCCCGUGAUCCCUGACCUCAGAGAAGUCCCCAUCUCUGUGCAGUUGCUUGGACACUUCAGGACACAACAGCAUCCUAAGGCUGGGAAUACAAGGAUUUCCAGCUGGGGGAAAACCCUAAUUGCUCUGUCCCUUUAUCACUGGAUUUUCCAGAGGUGGGACUCCAAGGCAUCCAGGCAAACGUGGAAUAAAGAAAUGCUUCAGUCAUAUUUUCAUUCCCCAAGGCUGAGUUCCAGACUCCAAAAUAGGAUUACCAGGGUGAGAUGCAGCUGAGUUUCACCUCUGCCACCCUUCAGCAGCUUCUGCUGCAGCCCUGGGAGAGCUCUGGGGAUGCAGAUCCUCGGUGGGAUGUGUCAGGCUGGAUUGUCCUAAUCCAGGGUGUCCUGACUGAGCCAGCUGCAGAGAUUUUGUGACAAGCCAGUGCAAACCGUUCCUUCGGCUCACAGAGAUUUGUUUUGCAGCACAAAAAUAAGCAGCAAUGCAAAUAUCAUACUCUGUUUUAUUUCCCCCUGUCUUUUUUCCCUCUUUGCUCCAGGAAAGCAGGAGGAGGCGAGGCAGGAUUGACACUUUCUCCUGCCGAGGGCUUUUCCUGAGAUGCCUGCUGGGAACACUCCUGUGUGUUUCUCUUUAGGUGGGAGCUCUUUUGAUUUUCCUGCUGCCGAAGUCGCACCAAGGUGCCUGGAGAAGGAUUUGCUGCUUGCUUAUGAAAUCCAUUCUCCCUCGAGGAUCUGCUCUUUCCAGCUUGAUAAACUCUUAAUUCUUGCUGUCUAACACCACCGAGGGACUGAGUUUUGUGCCUUGAUGAGUGUUUGGUGAUUGAUGUUCAUUUGUGCUUGCAGGAGAUCAGUAACCUCAUUUCAGUUUUGCCAGAACAUCUCAUGAGAGCUCCAUGUCCUUCUCCCGUCUGGGUCAGGUACAAAUGAAAGAGAAAAUGAAGAGGCUGUGCAGAGCCACCCUGUCACCACAGGGCUCCAUCCUGGCACUGUUUGUGCCCCACAUUGCACAGGGCCAUGUGGGAAAGGACCUGGCUAUUUUUGCUAUCAUCGCUUUAUCUUGGUUUUAGUCUUGGUUCUGUUCACUGUCUGGGAUAUUUGGAAGGAGCUGUUGUAACUUGGCAUGGGAGUAGAUUGCUUAAAUAUUACCUCACAGAGUCGAUGUAAAUUUAGAGUAGAUAAGACUUGGACCCCAAAUACCUUUUUUAACCCUUUACUGUCUUUUCCAAGUCCAUUCCCUCUGCUCUUUCUGAGCUCUUUCAGGCAGUUUUGAGAGGAAGGUGACUCCUGUUUUGUCACUUGUCUGUGAUACCCAAACAGUUUCUGCAUGGCCAGCAGAGACAUCUUUCACUCACCCCUGCACGUGCACACACAGGUACCUCCUCUGGGGAGGGAUUUGUCAACAGAAGAAAUCUCAGAGGGAAAAUGCCCAUCAUGAAGAAUUCACAGAAAAUACACAAUCCUAUACCCAGAUAAUAUCACCCACCACCCUGUGACACAGAUUUCAGAGAGUAAAUGUCAUUUCCCUUUAAAAAUCCAUUUUCUUUCCUUAGGAGGAAGGACACUUAGAGCACCUGUACUGAAAGGGAGAAGGUGAAGGAGCCUGCAAGUAUUCCCUGCCCCCUCUGAUCUUACGCAGAUUCUAAACACAGGUCUGGUUGCUUCUUAUUUAUUUUUCCUCUCUGCUUUUUUGCUUUGAAGUAUCUGCCUGUGUUCUCAAUGAAGAACAGCUGAGAGAUCAGGAAAAUGGCUUAAGAAUUCAGCAGGCUGUGAGCUAUUUGGAUUGAAAACAGUGCCUGGGAGAGAGCUCUUCACACUGCCUUGCUAAACAAUCUCCUCCUGUCACCAUCGGCGGUUGCUGUCCUUUGUUUGUCAUCUUCCCUCUGACUCUCCAGAGCCUUCAAGGAUGAAAAAAGAAGGACGAAGGAGGCUCCUUUUCUUUCUUCUUUGUUAAAUUCCCCCAAGCCCUGGUUUAAAAACCCACAGCACAGCCCUUAUGGCCCAUCUGCCGUUGUUUCAGGUUUGCUCCAUGGCUUUGUUCACCAUUUCCCCACUAAGCAAACCCUGGAUCCUUGGGAGCCACGAGCAGGACCCAGGUGCCACCCUGAGCUGCAGCUCCCCCUCUGUGUCCUGCCAAAGAGGAGCUGCCCACAGGACACCCAGGCACAGAUUCUGGAGCGUCUCAAAAAAGCCAUUUUUGUUUAGAAAUUCCUGUUGUUGUUGUUCCUGCUGACCUCUGUGGGCUGUAUCUUUUCCAAAUGUUUCUGACGUUUCUCACAGGGUGAUCUGUGAAUGUCACAGACAAGAAUUCUGCUGACUUCAGUUUGGCUUCUGCUUCCCAUUGGAUGGGCUCCCCUCUUUAUGGGGGAAUGCCUCCAGCCAAAAAGAGAGGAAGAAACCCCCAGCCCCCGAGCUAAGUGAAAGCAGGCCCAAAGGGAAGCGCGUUCCAGCCGCAGUGCCUCUCGCUGGCUGGCUUCUGUUCCGUGCUUGGGGACGUGCCAGGCUCCAGUGCCUCCGUGCUUUUGAUUCCUGUUUAUCCCCAGCAACAUGAUUGUCUAUAAUUAUAUAUAAUCUCCUCCUUGUUUACUCGUCUUCCUCCAGGUCUGAACGCAAGCUCGAUGGCAACUCUCUGCUCCGUCUGCCAGGGCUCCAACCGCUCCUCUCCAUCCUCCACCUUCUUUUUCCAAAGUAACAAAGCCAUUGGAUUUCCUCCCACCCCUUCCCUGCGCCUCCCCUCCCCCCUGCUGGCACCGGGGUUAUUUAUACAGAAUGUGGAAACAAUUUGCAGGAAAGUGAACAAUGUAAAGUGGGAGCGAGGGAAGGGAGGCAAGUUUGUUGUGCAUGCAGACAGCCCCAGCAGUGAAACGCUGCUUUUUGGGGAGCACAGGGAGCAGACUGUUUUCCUUUCUUCCUUCUCCCUUCUCUCACCAUCUCCCUGAGCUCUUUCCAUCCUGCCAGAGCCAAGGCCAAACCAGAGCAACCAGAUCUGAGUGUAUUUUGGAGGGUGUUCAGGUUGGAUCCCGCCCUGCAGCUCCGUGAGGCGGUAUCUGUGGAUUUAAUCCCCUCGGAGGUUCUGCUCUCGGAGCGUUCCUGCUCCUGGAUUAGCAUUAAUGAAGAGCAUGUGUGCUCCAGAGGUCCUGCUCCAGACCCUGGAGCUGCAGCACUGCCUGGUGUUACACUCAGCUAUUCCCAGGAGCAGUCGGGCUCAAAGAGGACAUUUCUGGGAGUGAACGAGGCAGGAACUUUUAGCAAAGUCUAAUUUCAGUCUUUCUGCCCUCACCUGCCGAGCGUUGCAUUUCCAGGGCAUCCCAUUGGGAGUGUGUCUGUAAAUCCUGCAGUUUUUCUGAGUGCUUGGGGCUGGGGGAGCUGAACCAGCACUCACCCAGCGCCUCUGAGCACUUCUGGGCUCUUCAGGCCUUGCUCUGCACAAAGCCCUCAAAGAGAGAUAAUCCAAACACACUCAUCCCUUGGGAAGGGCCAGCGGCGUUGCAGAGGGAAGGGAAUGUGAUCCUGGGUUCCAGGUUGGAGCAGAGCAGCUGCCCUGGCCACAGUGGGGUCUCCUCUCCUCCUGGAGCCUCCUUUCCCAAUAGCCCCAGCCUUGGGAUGGGAUCUGUGCAUUGUGCUGAGCUGUAGGGCCAGGGAGCUGCCAAGUGGGACAGCAGGUUCCUCCCUAAAGCAGGCAGAUUCCUGGCUCAGAACUGCAGCUAUGCCCUUGUGAUCCAGUGGCACAGAGGGACAGUCACAAGGAACCUCUGGUGGACUUUUCCUUCCUGAGAAUCCAUCCUCUCUGCUUUCCAGUUCUUCCUGCUCCUUUUCAGUCAUUGUCCUGAGACAUAAACUUUGAAAAAUUUAAAAUUUUAAAGAAGCUGAGGCCUUAAUUAAAAGUAAACCUUGCUAAAUCUAAUUAAAAAAAUAAAUAAAUGGGCCUGACUAAAAUUAAAGAUAGGUAGGUAGGUAGGUAGGUAGGUAGGUAGAUAGAUAGAUAGAUAGAUAGAUAGAUAGAUAGAUAGAUAGAUAGAUAGAUAGAUGGAUAGAUAGAUAGGAAGCUUUGCUAAAAGAAGAGGUUAAUCAUUAGCUAAUAAUUAAUUGUCUGUCAACUUUAUGCUUGUUCAGCUGGGCUUAUAAGGAGAAACAGAAUCUGUCUAAGAAUCUGGUAAAGAACUUCAAGAACAGAAGACAAUUGCAAAUCAGAAACCCAUUGAAGACAGGAAACCAGGAGCCCAGCCAAGGGUCCAUUUGUCACUUUGCAUUGAAAAGGUAGAAAGGUCAGAAGGAGGAAGAGCCAUAUCCCUUCCUCCCUUCUGUGACCCCUCCCCAAAAUGAGACCACCAACCCAUUUCAAGGAACAGACUAUGAAUGCUUAAUCGCUUUUUUAAAUUAGCAUAGAAAGUGGAGAGUGGGUGGUAACUGGAUUAUGAAUAUGCAUUUGUAUUCAAUACCUCUGUAAAUAAAAAGCCUGUAUUCACCUGUA